This 796-nucleotide ribosomal RNA is filed under the name uncultured Methanosarcinaceae archaeon. Its description in RNAcentral is "partial 16S ribosomal RNA". Lineage: Archaea; Methanobacteriati; Methanobacteriota; Methanomicrobia; Methanosarcinales; Methanosarcinaceae. The record is from RNAcentral.
GUGCUCCCCCGCCAAUUCCUUUAAGUUUCAGCCUUGCGGCCGUACUUCCCAGGUGGCUCGCUUCACGGCUUCCCUGCGGCACCAGACACGGUCGCGCCAUGCCUGACACCUAGCGAGCAUCGUUUACGGCUGGGACUACCCGGGUAUCUAAUCCGGUUCGUGCCCCCAGCUUUCGUCCCUCACCGUCGAACCCGUUCUGGUAAGACGCCUUCGCCACAGGUGGUCCCACAGGGAUUACAAGAUUUCACUCCUACCCCUGUAGUACCUCUUACCUCUCCCGGUUCCAAGCCUGGCAGUAUCCCCCGAAAGCCUAACGGUUAAGCCGUCAGAUUUCCCGGAGGACUGACCAAACCGGCUACGGACCCUUUAGACCCAAUAAUCACGAUCACCACUCGGGCCGCCGGUGUUACCGCGGCGGCUGGCACCGGUCUUGCCCGGCCCUUGCUAACAGGUGUAUUUUACACACCUGGACAGCCAGCAUAUGAUGCUGGCACUCGGUGUCCCCUUAUCACGGUUUCCCGCAUUGUAAAGUUUUCGCGCCUGCUGCGCCCCGUAGGGCCUGGAUUCAUGUCUCAGAAUCCAUCUCCGGGCUCUUGCUCUCACAACCCGUACCCGUUGUAGGCUAGUAGGUACAUUACACCCACUACUACCUGAUAGGCCGCAGACCCAUCCUUGGGCAGACGAAUCCAUUUUACGCAUAAAGCAUUCCAGCAUAUGUGCGUUAUCCGGAAUUAUCCCCAGUUUCCCGGGGUUAUGCCGGACCCAAGGGCAGGUUAUCCACGUGUUACUGAGCAGU